RNAcentral lists this transfer RNA (65 nucleotides) under Stigmella roborella. Its description in RNAcentral is "tRNA-Thr". It matches the Rfam family "tRNA". From Rfam's summary of the family: Transfer RNA (tRNA) molecules are approximately 80 nucleotides in length. Their secondary structure includes four short double-helical elements and three loops (D, anti-codon, and T loops). Further hydrogen bonds mediate the characteristic L-shaped molecular structure. tRNAs have two regions of fundamental functional importance: the anti-codon, which is responsible for specific mRNA codon recognition, and the 3' end, to which the tRNAs corresponding amino acid is attached (by aminoacyl-tRNA synthetases). tRNAs cope with the degeneracy of the genetic code in two manners: having more than one tRNA (with a specific anti-codon) for a particular amino acid; and 'wobble' base-pairing, i.e. permitting non-standard base-pairing at the 3rd anti-codon position. The record is from RNAcentral. Lineage: Eukaryota; Metazoa; Arthropoda; Insecta; Lepidoptera; Nepticulidae.
GUUUUAAUAGUUUAAAUAAAACAUUGGUCUUGUAAAUCAAAAUUAAGAUUUUAUCUUUUAAAACU